This is a non-coding RNA of Podarcis lilfordi (Lilford's wall lizard), 80 nucleotides long. Lineage: Eukaryota; Metazoa; Chordata; Lepidosauria; Squamata; Lacertidae. The record is from the annotation of a GenBank genome assembly.
GGAGAAGGGCUGUAGCUUAAUGGUAGAACAUCUGCCUUGCAAGCAGAAGAUCCUAUGUUAGACCCCCAAUGGCCUCUCCA